RNAcentral lists this ribosomal RNA (2913 nucleotides) under Salmonella enterica subsp. enterica serovar Infantis. Its description in RNAcentral is "23S ribosomal RNA". It matches the Rfam family "Bacterial large subunit ribosomal RNA". Lineage: Bacteria; Pseudomonadati; Pseudomonadota; Gammaproteobacteria; Enterobacterales; Enterobacteriaceae. The record is from RNAcentral.
GGUUAAGCGACUAAGCGUACACGGUGGAUGCCCUGGCAGUCAGAGGCGAUGAAGGGCGUGCUAAUCUGCGAUAAGCGCCGGUAAGGUGAUAUGAACCGUUAUAACCGGCGAUACCCGAAUGGGGGAAACCCAGUGUGAUUCGUCACACUAUCAUUAACUGAAUCCAUAGGUUAAUGAGGCGAACCGGGGGAACUGAAACAUCUAAGUACCCCGAGGAAAAGAAAUCAACCGAGAUUCCCCCAGUAGCGGCGAGCGAACGGGGAGGAGCCCAGAGCCUGAAUCAGCAUGUGUGUUAGUGGAAGCGUCUGGAAAGGCGCGCGAUACAGGGUGACAGCCCCGUACACAAAAGCGCAUGUGCUGUGAGCUCGAUGAGUAGGGCGGGACACGUGGUAUCCUGUCUGAAUAUGGGGGGACCAUCCUCCAAGGCUAAAUACUCCUGACUGACCGAUAGUGAACCAGUACCGUGAGGGAAAGGCGAAAAGAACCCCGGCGAGGGGAGUGAAAAAGAACCUGAAACCGUGUACGUACAAGCAGUGGGAGCACAGGUUUACCUGUGUGACUGCGUACCUUUUGUAUAAUGGGUCAGCGACUUAUAUUCUGUAGCAAGGUUAACCGAAUAGGGGGAGCCGGAGGGAAUCCGAGUCUUAAUUGGGCGUUAAGUUGCAGGGUAUAGACCCGAAACCCGGUGAUCUAGCCAUGGGCAGGUUGAAGGUUGGGUAACACUAACUGGAGGACCGAACCGACUAAUGUUGAAAAAUUAGCGGAUGACCUGUGGCUGGGGGUGAAAGGCCAAUCAAACCGGGAGAUAGCUGGUUCUCCCCGAAAGCUAUUUAGGUAGCGCCUCGUGAAUUCAUCUCCGGGGGUAGAGCACUGUUUCGGCUAGGGGGCCAUCCCGGCUUACCAACCCGAUGCAAACUGCGAAUACCGGAGAAUGUUAUCACGGGAGACACACGGCGGGUGCUAACGUCCGUCGUGAAGAGGGAAACAACCCAGACCGCCAGCUAAGGUCCCAAAGUCAUGGUUAAGUGGGAAACGAUGUGGGAAGGCCCAGACAGCCAGGAUGUUGGCUUAGAAGCAGCCAUCAUUUAAAGAAAGCGUAAUAGCUCACUGGUCGAGUCGGCCUGCGCGGAAGAUGUAACGGGGCUAAACCAUGCACCGAAGCUGCGGCAGCGACACACAGGUGUUGUUGGGUAGGGGAGCGUUCUGUAAGCCUGUGAAGGUGUGUCGUGAGGCAUGCUGGAGGUAUCAGAAGUGCGAAUGCUGACAUAAGUAACGAUAAAGCGGGUGAAAAGCCCGCUCGCCGGAAGACCAAGGGUUCCUGUCCAACGUUAAUCGGGGCAGGGUGAGUCGACCCCUAAGGCGAGGCCGAAAGGCGUAGUCGAUGGGAAACGGGUUAAUAUUCCCGUACUUGGUGUUACUGCGAAGGGGGGGACGGAGAAGGCUAUGUUGGCCGGGCGACGGUUGUCCCGGUUUAAGCGUGUAGGUGUGUGUUCCAGGUAAAUCCGGUUCACUUUAACACUGAGGCGUGAUGACGAGGCACUACGGUGCUGAAGCAACAAAUGCCCUGCUUCCAGGAAAAGCCUCUAAGCAUCAGGUAACAUCAAAUCGUACCCCAAACCGACACAGGUGGUCAGGUAGAGAAUACCAAGGCGCUUGAGAGAACUCGGGUGAAGGAACUAGGCAAAAUGGUGCCGUAACUUCGGGAGAAGGCACGCUGACAUGUAGGUGAAGUGAUUUACUCAUGGAGCUGAAGUCAGUCGAAGAUACCAGCUGGCUGCAACUGUUUAUUAAAAACACAGCACUGUGCAAACACGAAAGUGGACGUAUACGGUGUGACGCCUGCCCGGUGCCGGAAGGUUAAUUGAUGGGGUCAGCGCAAGCGAAGCUCCUGAUCGAAGCCCCGGUAAACGGCGGCCGUAACUAUAACGGUCCUAAGGUAGCGAAAUUCCUUGUCGGGUAAGUUCCGACCUGCACGAAUGGCGUAAUGAUGGCCAGGCUGUCUCCACCCGAGACUCAGUGAAAUUGAACUCGCUGUGAAGAUGCAGUGUACCCGCGGCAAGACGGAAAGACCCCGUGAACCUUUACUAUAGCUUGACACUGAACAUUGAGCCUUGAUGUGUAGGAUAGGUGGGAGGCUUUGAAGCGUGGACGCCAGUCUGCGUGGAGCCGACCUUGAAAUACCACCCUUUAAUGUUUGAUGUUCUAACGUGGACCCGUAAUCCGGGUUGCGGACAGUGUCUGGUGGGUAGUUUGACUGGGGCGGUCUCCUCCUAAAAGAGUAACGGAGGAGCACGAAGGUUGGCUAAUCCUGGUCGGACAUCAGGAGGUUAGUGCAAUGGCAUAAGCCAGCUUGACUGCGAGCGUGACGGCGCGAGCAGGUGCGAAAGCAGGUCAUAGUGAUCCGGUGGUUCUGAAUGGAAGGGCCAUCGCUCAACGGAUAAAAGGUACUCCGGGGAUAACAGGCUGAUACCGCCCAAGAGUUCAUAUCGACGGCGGUGUUUGGCACCUCGAUGUCGGCUCAUCACAUCCUGGGGCUGAAGUAGGUCCCCAAGGGUAUGGCUGUUCGCCAUUUAAAGUGGUACGCGAGCUGGGUUUAGAACGUCGUGAGACAGUUCGGUCCCUAUCUGCCGUGGGCGCUGGAGAACUGAGGGGGGCUGCUCCUAGUACGAGAGGACCGGAGUGGACGCAUCACUGGUGUUCGGGUUGUCAUGCCAAUGGCACUGCCCGGUAGCUAAAUGCGGAAGAGAUAAGUGCUGAAAGCAUCUAAGCACGAAACUUGCCCCGAGAUGAGUUCUCCCUGAGACUUAGAGUCUCCUGAAGGAACGUUGAAGACGACGACGUUGAUAGGCCGGGUGUGUAAGCGCAGCGAUGCGUUGAGCUAACCGGUACUAAUGAACCGUGAGGCUUAACCUU